Molecule: non-coding RNA, 88 nt
Filed under: Mangrovibacter plantisponsor
Lineage: Bacteria; Pseudomonadati; Pseudomonadota; Gammaproteobacteria; Enterobacterales; Enterobacteriaceae
Also listed under: 1 other name
Source: RNAcentral
CAUUAUGGUGAGUUGGGCAGGGGAACCGAAAGGUUCGCCGGGUUCUUUGGUGUCCGGUAGUUCCAACCCUGCUCAGCUCACCACCAGC